This 253-nucleotide ribosomal RNA is filed under the name uncultured bacterium. RNAcentral describes it as "partial 16S ribosomal RNA". It matches the Rfam family "Bacterial small subunit ribosomal RNA", at positions 524 to 776 of the family's 1533-position model. The record is from RNAcentral.
UACAGAGGUCCCAAGCGUUGUUCGGAUUCACUGGGCGUAAAGGGUGCGUAGGCGGUCGGGUAAGUCUGACGUGAAAUCUUCAAGCUCAACUUGGAAACUGCGUCCGAUACUAUUCGGCUAGAGGAAUGGAGGGGAGACUGGAAUACUUGGUGUAGCAGUGAAAUGCGUAGAUAUCUGGAGGAAUACCGGUGGCGAAGGCGGCAUCCUGGACCGACAUUGACGCUGAGGAGCGAAAGCUAGGGGAGCAAACGGG